This is a long non-coding RNA of Teleopsis dalmanni, 389 nucleotides long. RefSeq lists it as uncharacterized. NCBI's taxonomy places the organism in Eukaryota, Metazoa, Arthropoda, Insecta, Diptera, Diopsidae. The record is from RefSeq and is a predicted model, not a curated record. The transcript is spliced from 4 exons.
GUACGAAUCAGUAGCAUUUACCAAGUCCAACGAGUGGGUUCGUAACAGCGAAUUGAGUUUGGAAUUUUCGAAGAAUUUCGCAUAGGACGGUAUUUGACUUCGAAUAAAAAAUCAUUUAUAAUUUUAAAAAAUCUAAAAUUAUACAAAGUUUUUCAUUUAAAAAACUGGUGAAUACGUGAAUUAUUUAAACAUUGCUAUUUCUAAAACUUUUUGCUAUCAAUAUGUUGCCGCCACGGUUAAUGAAAAUAGCAUUCAUAGUUUGUCUGAUUGUGGUACUCCUUUCACACACCAGCGACAGUGCACAGACAAAAACGCGCAGAAGAUUACGUCGUCCUACCACAGCGCCUGCGACUAGCGAAUCAGGGUCGAGCACAAACUUAGUUGCAGCA